This 917-nucleotide ribosomal RNA is filed under the name Aspergillus nidulans. RNAcentral describes it as "LSU rRNA". It matches the Rfam family "Eukaryotic large subunit ribosomal RNA", at positions 35 to 968 of the family's 3401-position model. Lineage: Eukaryota; Fungi; Ascomycota; Eurotiomycetes; Eurotiales; Aspergillaceae. The record is from RNAcentral.
UAAGCAUAUCAAUAAGCGGAGGAAAAGAAACCAACCGGGAUUGCCUCAGUAACGGCGAGUGAAGCGGCAAGAGCUCAAAUUUGAAAGCUGGCCCCUUCGGGGUCCGCGUUGUAAUUUGCAGAGGAUGCUUCGGGUGCGGCCCCUGUCUAAGUGCCCUGGAACGGGCCGUCAGAGAGGGUGAGAAUCCCGUCUUGGGCAGGGUGCCCGUGCCCGUGUGAAGCUCCUUCGACGAGUCGAGUUGUUUGGGAAUGCAGCUCUAAAUGGGUGGUAAAUUUCAUCUAAAGCUAAAUACCGGCCGGAGACCGAUAGCGCACAAGUAGAGUGAUCGAAAGAUGAAAAGCACUUUGAAAAGAGAGUUAAACAGCGCGUGAAAUUGUUGAAAGGGAAGCGCUUGCGACCAGACUCGGCCCCGGGGUUCAGCCAGCACUCGUGCUGGUGUACUUCCCCGGGGGCGGGCCAGCGUCGGUUUGGGCGGCCGGUCAAAGGCCCCAGGAAUGUAUCGCCCUCCGGGGUUGUCUUAUAGCCUGGGGUGCAAUGCGGCCAGCCCGGACCGAGGAACGCGCUUCGGCACGGACGCUGGCGUAAUGGUCGCAAACGACCCGUCUUGAAACACGGACCAAGGAGUCUAACAUCUACGCGAGUGUUCGGGUGUCAAACCCGUACGCGCAGUGAAAGCGAACGGAGGUGGGAGCCCCCCCGGGGCGCACCAUCGACCGAUCCUGAUGUCUUCGGAUGGAUUUGAGUAAGAGCGUAGCUGUGGGGACCCGAAAGAUGGUGAACUAUGCCUGAAUAGGGCGAAGCCAGAGGAAACUCUGGUGGAGGCUCGCAGCGGUUCUGACGUGCAAAUCGAUCGUCAAAUUUGGGUAUAGGGGCGAAAGACUAAUCGAACCAUCUGGUAGCUGGUUCCUGCCGAAGUU